GAUGAACGCUAGCGGCAGGCCUAACACAUGCAAGUCGAGGGGGAAGUUACUUUCGGGUAACAGAGACCGGCGUACGGGUGCGUAACGCGUAUACAAUCUGCCUUUCACUGGGGGAUAGCCCGAAGAAAUUUGGAUUAAUACCCCAUAGUAUAGUAAUACGGCAUCGUGAUACUAUUAAAGCUUAGGUGGUGAAAGAUGAGUAUGCGUUCUAUUAGUUAGUUGGAGAGGUAACGGCUCCCCAAGGCGAUGAUAGAUAGGGGUUCUGAGAGGGAUGUCCCCCACACUGGUACUGAGAUACGGACCAGACUCCUACGGGAGGCAGCAGUGAGGAAUAUUGGACAAUGGUCGGAAGACUGAUCCAGCCAUGCCGCGUGCAGGAUGAAGGUCUUAUGGAUUGUAAACUGCUUUUGUAAGGGAAGAAUAAGGGCUACGUGUAGUUUGAUGACGGUACCUUACGAAUAAGCAUCGGCUAACUCCGUGCCAGCAGCCGCGGUAAUACGGAGGAUGCGAGCGUUAUCCGGAAUCAUUGGGUUUAAAGGGUCUGUAGGCGGGCUGGUAAGUCAGAGGUGAAAGCGCUCAGCUCAACUGAGCAACUGCCUUUGAAACUGUUGGUCUUGAAUGGUUGUGAAGUAGUUGGAAUGUGUAGUGUAGCGGUGAAAUGCUUAGAUAUUACACAGAACACCGAUAGCGAAGGCAUAUUUACUAACAAUUGAUUGACGCUGAUGGACGAAAGCGUGGGGAGCGAACAGG
Molecule: ribosomal RNA, 750 nt
Filed under: Capnocytophaga ochracea
Lineage: Bacteria; Pseudomonadati; Bacteroidota; Flavobacteriia; Flavobacteriales; Flavobacteriaceae
Description: bacterial SSU rRNA
Rfam family: Bacterial small subunit ribosomal RNA
Source: RNAcentral